This 502-nucleotide ribosomal RNA is filed under the name uncultured bacterium. Its description in RNAcentral is "partial 16S ribosomal RNA". It matches the Rfam family "Bacterial small subunit ribosomal RNA", at positions 30 to 523 of the family's 1533-position model. The record is from RNAcentral.
AUUGAACGCUGGCGGCAGGCUUAACACAUGCAAGUCGAGCGGGGUGAUGGUGCUUGCACUAUCACUAGCGGCGGACGGGUGAGUAAUGCUUAGGAAUCUGCCUAUUAGUGGGGGACAACAUCUCGAAAGGGAUGCUAAUACCGCAUACGUCCUACGGGAGAAAGCAGGGGAUCACUUGUGACCUUGCGCUAAUAGAUGAGCCUAAGUCGGAUUAGCUAGUUGGUGGGGUAAAGGCCUACCAAGGCGACGAUCUGUAGCGGGUCUGAGAGGAUGAUCCGCCACACGGGGACUGAGACACGGCCCAGACUCCUACGGGAGGCAGCAGUGGGGAAUAUUGGACAAUGGGGGGAACCCUGAUCCAGCCAUGCCGCGUGUGUGAAGAAGGCCUUAUGGUUGUAAAGCACCUUAAGCGAGGAGGAGGCUCUUUUGGUUAAUACCCAGAAUGAGUGGACGUUACUCGCAGAAUAAGCACCGGCUAACUCUGUGCCAGCCGCCGCCGUAA